This 171-nucleotide ribosomal RNA is filed under the name Clostridioides difficile. RNAcentral's name for it is "partial 23S ribosomal RNA". It matches the Rfam family "Bacterial large subunit ribosomal RNA", at positions 2752 to 2925 of the family's 2925-position model. The record is from RNAcentral. Lineage: Bacteria; Bacillati; Bacillota; Clostridia; Peptostreptococcales; Peptostreptococcaceae.
UGUACGGAAUGGAUAAGCGCUGAAAGCAUCUAAGCGCGAAGCCAACUUCAAGAUAAGAUUUCCCACCGCAAGGGUAAGACCCCAGAAAGACUAUCUGGUUGAUAGGUCGAAGGUGUAAGUGCAGCAAUGUAUUUAGCUUAUCGAUACUAAUAGGUCGAGGACUUGACCAAU